AACCUGGUUGAUCCUGCCAGUAGUCAUAUACUUGUCUUUAAGAUUAAGCCAUGCAUGUCUCAGUUCUUUAAUUUUGUAAACAAUAGAUUGCGAAUGGCUCAGUAUAACAGUUACCAUUUGUUUGAAUGACUAUUUAUGUGGAUAACUUUGGAAUUGCUUCAGCUAAUACAUGGUACUUAUAUUUAAAUCUAUUAUUUUGAUUUGUAUAUAGAUUUGAUUUUUAUCAAACUAAAAUGUGCGUACAUUAUGGAAGGUUUAUAAUUAUUACUAACCGAUUGCUUUACAAGCGGCAAUUCAUUAAAAUUUCUGACCUAUCAGUUAAUUAGUAGCGUCUUUAUCUUUUGAGGCAUUUACGGGUAACAGAGAAUUAGGGUCCUAUUCCGGAGAGGGAGUCUGCGAAAUAGCUACCACAUCUAAGGAAGGCAGCAGGCACGUAAAUUACCCAAUUUUGAUUAGUAGAGGUAGUGACAAUAUAUCAUAAUAUUUUGCCUAUUGGUUAUGUAAUUGUAUUGAGAACAAUAUAAAUAUAUUAUCUAUAAGUUAGUGGAGGGCAAGUCUGGUGCCAGCAGCCGCGGUAAUUCCAGCUUCAAAAGUAUAUGCUAACAAUGCUGCAAUUAAAAAGUUCAUAGUCGAACUCUUCAGGUUAUAAUUUUUAUGUGAUCAUAAUGGAUUAUAAAGAAGUUGAUUUAUCUUAAUAUAAAUAGUAUUACUCUGUUAGCAUUAAUUUUCUGACAGUAAUUAAAGUAAUUUUUACUUUGAAAAAAUUAGAGUGUUCAAAGCAGUCGUUCGAAAUUAUUCUAAAGCACGGAAUGAUAAGUAAUGAUGCUAGUUAAUAUAUAAUGGUUUGAGAGGUUGAUGUAAUUAUUUCUAGAGUUUUUCGGAGGGAUUAGUAUUUUAUCGUUAGAAGUGAAAUUCUUAGAUUGUGAAAAGAUUAACUACAGCAAAUGCAUUCAUCUAGGCUAUAUUUUUUUAUCAAGAACGUAAGUUGGGGGAUCGAAGACGAUCAGAUACCGUCGUAGUCUCAACUAUAAACUAUAUCAACUAGGGAUUAGCGAUUAUUUUUUAAACUUGUUAGAACCUCAAGAGAAAUCAAGAGUGUCUGGAUUCCGGGGGGAGUAUGGUCGCAAGGCUGAAACUUAAAGGAAUUGACGGAAGGGCACCACAAGAUGUGGAUUCUGUGGCUCAAUUUGAUUCAACACUGGAAAGCUUAUCAGGUCUAGACAUUGGAACUAUAAACAGACUGAUAGCGCUCUCUUGAUUUUGUGGGUUGUGGUGCAUGGCCGUUCUUAGUUGGUGGUGUGAUUUGUCUGGUUAAUUCCGUUAACGAACGAGACUAUCUAUUGUUUAUUCGCAUCAUAAUUUAUUUAGAAUUUUGCUUCUUUGAGAAACUAGAUUUGCUUAAAAAGCUGGAAGUGUGUAGCAAUAACAGGUCUGUGAUGCCCUUAGAUGUUCUGGGCAGCGCACGGGCUACAAUAGGAGAAUUAGUACGCUUACCAUCUUAAUUCGAAAAGACCUGAGAAAUCAUGAAACUUAUUUAUAAUUGGGCUUACGCAUUGAAGUUGUUAUGUACAAACCAGGAAUAUCUAGUAAAUAGAUGUCAUUAACAUUGAUUGAAUAUGUCCCUGCCUUUUGUACACACCGCCCGUCGCUCCUACCGAUUGAAUACGUUGGUGAUUGGAUUGGAUAAAGAGAUAUCUUCUAAAAAGACAUCAAAACGGUAAACAUUUGAAAACUAGAUUAUUUAGAGGAAGGAGAAGUCGUAACAAGGUUUCCGUAGGUGAACCUGCAGAAGGAUCA
RNAcentral lists this ribosomal RNA (1797 nucleotides) under Collosphaera globularis-huxleyi. Its description in RNAcentral is "SSU rRNA". It matches the Rfam family "Eukaryotic small subunit ribosomal RNA". The record is from RNAcentral. Lineage: Eukaryota; Polycystinea; Collodaria; Collosphaeridae.